AAAACAUCGCCUCUUGACUCCAUAAGAGGUCCAGCCUGCCCAGUGACAAGUUCAACGGCCGCGGUACCCUAACCGUGCAAAGGUAGCAUAAUCACCUGUUCUUUAAAUGAGGACUCGUAUCAACGGCACCACGAGGGUUGCACUGUCUCCCCCCUCUAAUCAGUGAAACUGAUCUCCCCGUGAAGAAGCGGGGGUACAACUAUAAGACGAGAAGACCCCAUGGAGCUUAAAACCCAACGGCAACUCAACCCCACGCACUUCCCCGCACCAAGAGAGCAUGCCUAACGGUUUUAGGUUGGGGCGACCACGGAGUAAAAACCAACCUCCAUGACGAAAAGAACUAAAUCUUUAUCCCAGAGCCACCCCUCCAAGAAUUAGAACACUAACGGACAAUGACCCGACUAUCGACCAACGAACCAAGUUACCCUGGGGAUAACAGCGCAAUCUACUUCAAGAGCCCCUAUCGACAAGUAGGCUUACGACCUCGAUGUUGGAUCAGGGUACCCCAGAGG
RNAcentral lists this ribosomal RNA (512 nucleotides) under Theloderma corticale (Tonkin bug-eyed frog). RNAcentral's name for it is "partial 16S ribosomal RNA". It matches the Rfam family "Bacterial large subunit ribosomal RNA", at positions 1810 to 2553 of the family's 2925-position model. Lineage: Eukaryota; Metazoa; Chordata; Amphibia; Anura; Rhacophoridae. The record is from RNAcentral.